Molecule: long non-coding RNA, 276 nt
Filed under: Elaeis guineensis (African oil palm)
Lineage: Eukaryota; Viridiplantae; Streptophyta; Magnoliopsida; Arecales; Arecaceae
Description: long non-coding RNA (EGUI_LNC016380)
Source: RNAcentral
UCGGGGCAGCGGGAUCCAGCGGCAGGGGAAAGAGGAGGAUCGAAGGUGGGGGGAAGAGGGGGCAGCGGCAGGAUGAGCAAAAAUGAAGAGUGGAGAAUCGAUGGGAUAUUUUUAAGGUUAGUAUUAGCGACGGUAAAUUUACCGUCUCUAAUAGCCAUCGGUAAAAAUUAUUUUUCUUGUAGUGCUUGUCGGAUCCACCGCCCUCUUUGUCAAAUCUGCUCUCCCCCUGUCGGAUCCGCCAUCCCUACACUGGAUCAUCGUUGCCAUCCCCGCACC